GCCGGGAUGGUGAAAUCGGUAAACACGCGACACUUAAAAUGUCGUGAGCAUUUGCUCUUGUGGGUUCAAGUCCCACUCCCGGCACAA
RNAcentral lists this transfer RNA (87 nucleotides) under Candidatus Kaiserbacteria bacterium CG10_big_fil_rev_8_21_14_0_10_49_17. RNAcentral's name for it is "tRNA-Leu". It matches the Rfam family "tRNA". From Rfam's summary of the family: Transfer RNA (tRNA) molecules are approximately 80 nucleotides in length. Their secondary structure includes four short double-helical elements and three loops (D, anti-codon, and T loops). Lineage: Bacteria; Candidatus Kaiseribacteriota. The record is from RNAcentral.